Molecule: non-coding RNA, 75 nt
Organism: Desmophyllum pertusum
Lineage: Eukaryota; Metazoa; Cnidaria; Anthozoa; Scleractinia; Caryophylliidae
Source: the annotation of a GenBank genome assembly
GACUACGGUGGCCUAAUGGUUAGCGCGUUUGACUCCAGAUCGAGUGGUCCCGGGUUCGAGCCCUGGCCUGAGUCA